AGUAGCUAAGAGCUUGGCUGCUAACCAAAAGAUUGGUGGUUCAAAUCCACCAGCCACUU
Molecule: transfer RNA, 59 nt
Filed under: Loxodonta africana (African savanna elephant)
Lineage: Eukaryota; Metazoa; Chordata; Mammalia; Proboscidea; Elephantidae
Rfam family: tRNA
About the family: Transfer RNA (tRNA) molecules are approximately 80 nucleotides in length.
Source: Rfam by way of RNAcentral